This 30-nucleotide non-coding RNA is filed under the name Mus musculus (house mouse). Lineage: Eukaryota; Metazoa; Chordata; Mammalia; Rodentia; Muridae. The record is from RNAcentral.
UAGUCUUUCAGAAGAGCCUGGAAUACCUGC